Molecule: ribosomal RNA, 465 nt
Filed under: uncultured ammonia-oxidizing beta proteobacterium
Lineage: Bacteria; Pseudomonadati; Pseudomonadota; Betaproteobacteria
Description: bacterial SSU rRNA
Rfam family: Bacterial small subunit ribosomal RNA
Source: RNAcentral
GGAGAAAAGCAGGGGAUCGCAAGACCUUGCGCUUUUGGAGUGGCCGAUGCCUGAUUAGCUAGUUGGUGGGGUAAGAGCCUACCAAGGCGACGAUCAGUAGUUGGUCUGAGAGGACGACCAGCCACACUGGGACUGAGACACGGCCCAGACUCCUACGGGAGGCAGCAGUGGGGAAUUUUGGACAAUGGGUGAAAGCCUGAUCCAGCAAUGCCGCGUGAGUGAAGAAGGCCUUCGGGUUGUAAAGCUCUUUCAGUCGAGAAGAAAAGGCCGCGACUAAUAAUCGCGACUCAUGACGGUGUCGACAGAAGAAGCACCGGCUAACUACGUGCCAGCAGCCGCGGUAAUACGUAGGGUGCGAGCGUUAAUCGGAAUUACUGGGCGUAAAGGGUGCGCAGGCGGCUUUGUAAGUCAGAUGUGAAAUCCCCGGGCUUAACCUGGGAAUUGCGUUUGAAACUACAAAGCUAA